RNAcentral lists this transfer RNA (73 nucleotides) under Stegodyphus mimosarum. It matches the Rfam family "tRNA". From Rfam's summary of the family: Transfer RNA (tRNA) molecules are approximately 80 nucleotides in length. Their secondary structure includes four short double-helical elements and three loops (D, anti-codon, and T loops). Lineage: Eukaryota; Metazoa; Arthropoda; Arachnida; Araneae; Eresidae. The record is from Rfam by way of RNAcentral.
GCCUUCGUGGUGUAAUGGUCAGCACGCUUGACGCGUAUUUCUGAGGUCCCUGGUUCGAGUCCCGGCGAAGGCG